This is a long non-coding RNA of Solea senegalensis (Senegalese sole), 2508 nucleotides long. RefSeq lists it as uncharacterized. The transcript has 2 exons. The record is from RefSeq and is a predicted model, not a curated record. NCBI's taxonomy places the organism in Eukaryota, Metazoa, Chordata, Actinopteri, Pleuronectiformes, Soleidae.
GUUGCUUAGCAACCUCCUGCCUUAAGAGCUAGUACAUUUUUCUGACCAAUCAAAUGAGUGAGCACGUUUUUGAAUGGUGUCCAGGGUUGAAAGAUUAGACUAUUGUUUCUACCAUCGAAUCCCUUUCCAUUCAUCAGGUUUUUGCACCUCGCAAAUAAUUGAAUCUAUUUCCUUCUCUUGCACAUACACUGCAUGCUUUGAAUCAUUCUCAGUACUAGUUAGUCCUCCACAGCGUGUGCUGCCAGUCCACCACUGGAUGGCAGCACUGACGGUUCCUCUGAUGCCACAUAGGCUGCAAGAUUUUUUUUUUUUCUUUCACUGCUGUUGCUAAGCAAUCCUGACUAUCAUGUCUUACCUGUGUAACAUUUGUGAAUUUUUACAGAUGCCCCUGACACCAUUUUGUCUUUGUUUUUCCAUGUUUUUUUAAAUGCAUCACGUAGGAAAAUUGAAUAUGGGCUGCGCCGCAAAACCCAUUCACGUCCAAGCUGAUACUGUAACCUUCUAAAUCCAGAUAUUCCAACAGGAAAACGAGUGAACAAGUGCAGAGAAUAAUUCAUGAAUGAAUGGGAUGCCUGCCAAGCCAGUUUUUUGGGCGAAAUAUUGCAACAGCUUCAGUUGACUUCAUGUCAUCAUCAUGCAGGAGGCAGGAAAUGUGCUCUUGAGUGAUUAGGCUAGGCCAGCAGCUCUUGUCUUCCACUUAAGCAGCGGCAGAAACAGCCACUUUUUUUCCUCGGCUGAUGCAGCUCUGUGUUUUCCCUGAAUAUAAACCUCUGAAAUUUUUCCAACCAGUAAUUGAACACAUUAUCGAUGUGAUCGAGCACCAUUUCAAGUUCCCGUCAUUAAUGAUCGUGUUCUCUUUCACACACUCUCUCCGUGCCUGUAACCCCCCCACCCAGUCCCUCAUCUCAGCUGUGGUUGCAGCAGUGCAGAUGGUUCUUUGUUGGUGCUUCACAAUGGGUCUAAGGCAACAGGUUGUAGGGAUGGAGCCUUUUCUUCACCAGAGAUAAUACUAAUAAUCUCCCUGAAGCCUCUUUCACACUGGGGACCACGCUUGUCCACUCGUGCAUGAACUGUGAUGCCACUGACAAAACCAUGAAGAAAAAAACAACAACACCACCACCAUGAUCCUCAGUCAUAAUGUUUGCGGUUACUAAUUUGCAUCUUUGACUUUGGUCUCUCUUUCAAUUCAUUGUUCAAAUGAUUCAAUUGAGCUUGAACCCAAGUUUUAAUAAGUCUGGAUCACUACAGACGUUCUUCUGCAAGGUUUUCCAGCAGCAGACUACAGCGUCACAUCAGCAAACCCUCUGCUCUUCAAAGUAGGGGAAUAAAUCGUCUUUAAGAUACAGAAAACCUAACCCCAAGUGGUCAGGUGCUAUCUGAUUGCAAUCCGAUUACAGAAAACACAUUUUAAUGCCAAAGAGGGCCACAGUCAUCGCAUCGCAUCUCAGAGUCACUUGACCUGGGAGUCAUUUCCAAUGAAGCACAUGCUUACUUGGGAUUAAUAAAUGUAUUUAUUUAAAGUAGUGGUAAAGACUAGUGGCUCACUAUCAGAAAAUGAAAGGAGAUGUUUGGUGGCGAGUAGGAAGGAAAGAGCUGAGAGAAAUGAAAGUAAAACAAGAGUUUAUAGUGGCAUUUCUAUCCAAACACAGGAAGCACAGCCAAAAGUUAGUAUUAAAUGUUAGAAGUCCAGCAUCAAACAUCAUUACUGGACUCAUUUAAUACUAACGUUGGCUGUGCAACAGUGGUAAAAAAUAAAUACAUAUAGCACUUUUAAAAGUCUGGAUGGGAUUAUAGAUGAAUAUUCACCACCAUGGUCCAGUACAGUAGCCACAUUACUGGAGCUGAUGCAUUUUACUGUCGCCCAUCUCAUGUCUGCCUUCAUGCAUUAAUAACGAGUCCUGAAAUAUCUACUACACAUGGUAGUAGACGGAGACAAGACAUGUUUUCAUGGUAAGAAAUAAGCUGAGGUUUGACUAAAAACAUCCUGUCGCACAAACAUCCAUUUUCACCAACUGACUCAGUCACAGACACAUGAUUUAAAUCUAAAGUUAACUGGGACAAAGGGGUUUGAAACAUUUGGGAUAAAACGGCAGCAUUGUUUAGCCAUUUUCGAAAUCCUGCAACACUGAAGAGACAUGUCAACCACAGCAGCCUCAGAAAUAACCAGAGGCACAGGAUUUCAGGAUCAUUGGCUCUGUGCCACUGAGGAGCUUUGGUUUACAUUACGUGUGUUUCUGUAAACACACAUCACCGGUCUAUGCCACAGAACUAAACUAUGUGUAAAAAAGAUUUCUGUUUUCACUUUUUUGUUUCGUAUGUUUAUUUUUACACGCUCAAAGUAAGCGCGUAACUUUUGUUGCCUCUGAUUUUUGCAAACAGAAACAAUGGAACAUUGUUUGUAUGAAAAAAAUGAAAAUGGGCUCUGCCAAGCAAUACUAUCAGACCUGACUGAGGGAGCAUUUGUGUGCACAUAGCAGCAAUGAAGGGGAUGGAAAUGGAAUUGUGAAA